UAAUGACGGUACCUGAAGAAUAAGCACCGGCUAACUACGUGCCAGCAGCCGCGGUAAUACGUAGGGUGCAAGCGUUAAUCGGAAUUACUGGGCGUAAAGCGUGCGCAGGCGGUUUUGUAAGUUUGUCGUGAAAUCCCCGGGCUCAACCUGGGAAUGGCGAUGAAGACUGCAAGGCUAGAGUUUGGCAGAGGGGGGUAGAAUUCCACGUGUAGCAGUGAAAUGCGUAGAUAUGUGGAGGAACACCGAUGGCGAAGGCAGCCCCCUGGGUCAAAACUGACGCUCAUGCACGAAAGCGUGGGGAGCAAACAGGAUUAGAUACCCUGGUAGUCCACGCCCUAAACGAUGUCUACUAGUUGUCGGGUCUUAAUUGACUUGGUAACGCAGCUAACGCGUGAAGUAGACCGCCUGGGGAGUACGGUCGCAAGAUUAAAACUCAAAGGAAUUGACGGGGACCCGCACAAGCGGUGGAUGAUGUGGAUUAAUUCGAUGCAACGCGAAAAACCUUACCUACCCUUGACAUGGCUGGAAUCCCCGAGAGAUUGGGGAGUGCUCGAAAGGGAACCAGUACACAGGUGCUGCA
Molecule: ribosomal RNA, 580 nt
Filed under: Duganella sp.
Lineage: Bacteria; Pseudomonadati; Pseudomonadota; Betaproteobacteria; Burkholderiales; Oxalobacteraceae
Description: bacterial SSU rRNA
Rfam family: Bacterial small subunit ribosomal RNA
Source: RNAcentral